CACGACCGAAUUGGGAGCAGUUCUCCCUUUUCCCCCACGAAGCAGCCCUAUCGGGCGCCGCCACCCCUGACUCGCCGCCAGGCCCGCCCCUCCCUCGCCGGCUCGCCGCCUGCGCAGCCACACAACCGCACCACCCCGCGUCGCCACUCCCGCAUCCCACCGUCCCGCGCGAUCUCUACUGGCGCCUGGGAAGAGGGUACGCUGCCGCCUGGUUCAACUCCGACCUCGCUGUUCCAGUACAGCGCCGACCAAAAUUCCCUCCGGUUGACCAGUCCAAGAACAGCCAACCAGGACGACGAGGACGCUCGACGGUCACCUCCAGACCUCUACUCCAGACCAGGACAUUCGGCCGACGCUGUGUAUCAAUGGAUUUAGAAUCUAUAAAGGAGCUAUUGCUUUCUCCUAGACCAGGAAAUUUUGCCACUGGAGAUUAGAAGGAUUGUUCUAAAUUGGUGCAUGAAGCUAUGCGUUCUUUUAGCGGACAUUUAUAUAUGUCUGCAUAGUUCUUGCUCUUCAACCAUGAAGCUUGAAAAAACCCAAAAAUUGUUCUGAGUUAAACUUCAUGUAUGACGGAUUGUCACUGGAAAUAGAUAGAUACUUUUGUGAAUGAAGUAUUAUGUCUCAUUUACCAUCUUGUAAACUAAGCUUACAUUUGUUUGAAAUUGAUGUUUUUAGUCAAAACUUGGAUGUCCGAUUCAAC
Molecule: ribosomal RNA, 700 nt
Filed under: Triticum aestivum (bread wheat)
Lineage: Eukaryota; Viridiplantae; Streptophyta; Magnoliopsida; Poales; Poaceae
Description: partial small subunit ribosomal RNA
Source: RNAcentral